GUGUCGCUAGUGCAAUUGGUUACCACGCGCCCCCGGAAAGGGUGAAACAAGGGUUCGAUUCCUCUCCGACACA
Molecule: non-coding RNA, 73 nt
Organism: Parelaphostrongylus tenuis
Lineage: Eukaryota; Metazoa; Nematoda; Chromadorea; Rhabditida; Metastrongylidae
Source: the annotation of a GenBank genome assembly